RNAcentral lists this long non-coding RNA (1463 nucleotides) under Capsicum annuum. Its description in RNAcentral is "long non-coding RNA (CANN_LNC016811)". The record is from RNAcentral. Lineage: Eukaryota; Viridiplantae; Streptophyta; Magnoliopsida; Solanales; Solanaceae.
GUAAAACAGUCAAACAAACAAACAAAAGAAAAACUAAUCAAAAGUACAGUAUCCAGUCCAAUUUAUACAGUCCAAAAUAGAAAAAUACAAAAAUAAACCCUAUCUAACCUACACUAAUACUAACUACACUCCCUUGCUUUACCCGAUGCCUCGGGACUUCCUCACGAACGUCUUUUGCCAACAUAGUACGUCGGGACAUUCCCCGGUGAAUAAAUCAAGGUGUAUCGGGGCAUUCCCCGGCUAAAUAAAUACAUUUGAAUUAAAUAUGAUAAACUAGAAACCAAACAUUCACACGUGCAUUAAACAUUCAAAACAUUUAAUAAACACAUCACUCCUAAAUAUUUGCCUACCCAAACCUACUUUUAGCUAUUCAUUCGAUGACCUAAUCAUGAUGCUAGCCAAUUCAACAGUAUCCAGUAAUGAAUCAAAAUAAUCAACCUUCGACUUAUUCGAUUAUCAAUUUUCAAUCCUGACCCCCAAACAAAUUCAAAUCCUUUAAUUACUCUAUUCACAUGAAUCAGUCAAUCAAUAUCAACCAUAGUAAUCACGAUUGCUUGAACACAAUAUCAAAACAUAUCCUCACAUCAUAACAUCAACCAAAUGCCAUAUUUGAUCCGAUACACCGAAUACCAUAACUAUUAAAAUAAAAGAGAAAGAGAAAAGAAUUGGACCUCAAGACGAAGCUUUCAAAAUCCAAUAUUACUUGAAUGAGAAGACGUAUUCCGCCACCGGAGACCUCGAAUUGAACCUCGACCCAACAAACCGGAGCUCAAUACACCCCUUUUCUCCAUUUUCGCCAACCCAAAUUGAAAACCCCAAAACGAAGGUAAAUUAGUACCAAAUUCUCGUGCCUAUUACGGUUUUGAUCAUUUUUCGAUUGACUUCAUCGGGAUCGAGACUGAUUGAACCAAUUUUGGUCGCUCAACCAUAGAUUUUGUCCCUUUUCGGUGAAUGGUCAUCGGAAUCAGUACUAGAGGAGGUCAGAUUCAAGUCGGAGUGAAGCUGGUGGUGUUUCCUGGCCACUAAUUCUGCCAUAACAAUGAUGAAACAGCCAUGAAAAGUGUUUUUUGAUGAGGUUCAAACAGAAUUAAUGGAGGAGGAAGAAAUAUUUCGAUUGAAUUUGGCCGAAAAUGGUCGCUUGUUUGUGAUUUAUUGCUGGAUUUGGUCGUGUGGUAGGUCAUUUUUGGUGAGAGAUGGAAGAUUUGGGCAAUCAAUUCGCUGAAAACCUCAAACCAGUCGGCUGGGAUGCCUCUGUUCUGUAUUCUUUCCCUUCUCACUCUAUUCCUCUUUCUCUCGCACUGUCCCAAUCUCUUUCCCCCGUCUCAAUCUCUCUCUCGUCUCCCUACUCUCACCCCCUUCCAAUGGUAUUCUCUCCUCUCUUCUUUAAUGGAGUGCCUUUCAGGAGGAUGAUGGUGUAGGCGUAUUAGUGAGAAAGGGGUGUGUAUGUGAUGAGUGUGUGACCA